GGUUUAGGUUUUCUGUUCCAUUUAAAUAGUUAAAUACGCAGCUUUUAGGAGAGGAGGUAAGGAAAAACAACAGAAAGAAAAAGAGCAGAAAAGAGAGAAUGGGGAAAGAGAAAAAUAUAGCAGAAAUUUUUCCGAAAAAUUUCUUGAGCAAGGGCUGAUGAUCCAGUCAGCUUCUUGACCCUAUUCUGAUCUCUUUAGAGCUUCUCCUAAGCAAGUGUUUGUUUCUGGGUAAUCUAUGAUUGUUGGAGAGAAAAUUUGGUGUUGAAUUUUUUUUUGGAAAAAACUGCUGCAACAUCUUCGGAUUGAGGUCUGAACUUGCUGCUUUCACCAUCCUUAAAGAACUGCAGCAAAAAGUUCUUUCUUCGUUUUUAGCAAUUUAGGUGAUCGUUUAAAGUUUUUCCCACAUUAAUUCAGUCCCCAACCAUUUAUAGGUUUGAAGAUGGUCUGAUGUUUGAUGAUUUGAUGAAUCGGCCGAGCUUUCGAUGGACCCAUUCUUGGAUCCACCAGAAGCUAGCCUCGUUCUUUCUUUUCUUGCAUUUUCCGUUGGUUUCCUUCCUCUGUUUGAUCUUCAAUAGCUUGAUGUCUGCAGUUGGGCUGUAUUAAUCAAAAUGGGUUGCAGCUUAUGCUGGGUUUGAGGUUGAAAAUUGCUGGGUUUUGUUUGGGUUUGUGACAUGGGUUUGGGUAUUCAAGCCCAAUCUCUUUUUUGGUUGGAACAAUGGAAAUAAUGUGGGCAAAAUUCGCUGGGCCAAAGUGUUCGGCCUAGACCAAAGCAGAUAAAAAGAAAAGAAAAGGCCCAUCGUUUUUUUGGGGUCAAAUCAGAAACGGACUUUGCAA
This is a long non-coding RNA of Coffea arabica (coffee), 834 nucleotides long. RefSeq lists it as uncharacterized. Lineage: Eukaryota; Viridiplantae; Streptophyta; Magnoliopsida; Gentianales; Rubiaceae. The record is from RefSeq and is a predicted model, not a curated record.